Molecule: long non-coding RNA, 665 nt
Organism: Dioscorea cayenensis subsp. rotundata (Guinea yam)
Lineage: Eukaryota; Viridiplantae; Streptophyta; Magnoliopsida; Dioscoreales; Dioscoreaceae
Exons: 2
Source: RefSeq, a predicted model, not a curated record
CUAGGUGGCGAAGCUUCCUCCCAAGGGAAGGAAAUUGCAGACCUGUGAGCGCGUCUCAAGACAAGACGACGGGUUCACAUCGUAUGCUUGAUUUCUCGAGUUGGAAUCGGAAAGAAUUGCACUAUAGCAUUCGGAUUUUGAUGGUGAAUGUGGACUUUAGUCCAACACUGCAGUGUAGGGUUCCACGGUCCGGUCUAAUGGGAGACGGCGUGGUCAAGCCUGAGUUUACCCUGGUCAAGAGGUGUGCGGAGCCAUUGACAGGGAGUUCUUAUAUGAGAAACCCGGGGUCACUACACGGGAAUCUCAGUGGCCAACGUCAAGAUUAUGAAUACCUCAAUGGCUCUCAACCUAGUUGUGACGGCGUCUAAGUCGGAGAGUGUUUUUCAGGCCAAUGACUUGAGAUUGGUUUUAUCGUUCAGUUGUGCAAAUAUUGAUAUCAUUUCUGGAUUGUGAUGAGGGGGCAGAGGCCAGCUGUCGCUCUUAGGAGGGCAGUCUCUCACAAAUAUUUUUAUCACUAUUGACUGUGAUGACGGGGCGAAGCCUAGCUGUCGCUCUUAGGAUGGCAGUUUCUCACAAAAAUUUAUAUUUUCGUCGGAAAAUGUGACUUAAUUGUACUAUUUAUGAACCAUUGUGCUAUUUGUUAACUUGUCGAAUACUUAGAACUA